Molecule: transfer RNA, 72 nt
Filed under: Asterropteryx semipunctata (starry goby)
Lineage: Eukaryota; Metazoa; Chordata; Actinopteri; Gobiiformes; Gobiidae
Description: tRNA-Gly
Rfam family: tRNA
About the family: Transfer RNA (tRNA) molecules are approximately 80 nucleotides in length.
Source: RNAcentral
AUCUUUCUAGUACUAAAGACAGUAUAAGUGACUUCCAAUCACAAGGUCUCGGUUUAAGUCCGAGGAAAGAUA